GAGAAACCAGGCCGGAGGACAUUCAACCUGCAGGACGAGAAACCGGGGAGAAACUACAAACUACAGCAUUAGAAAUAAACUACAGCCAUAGCAACUACAAACUACAGCGGUUAGAAAUAAACUACAGCAAUAGCAACUACAAACUACAGCAGUUAGAAAUAAACUACAGCAAUAGCAACUACAAACUACAGCAGUUAGAAGUAAACUACAGCAAUAGACACAACAAACUACAGCAGUUAGAAAUAAACUACAGCAAUAGAAACAACAAACUACAGCUAUAUAAAUAAACUACAGCACUAGAAACUACAAACUACAGCUAUAUAAAUAAACUACAGCCAUAUAAACAACAAACUACAUCAGUUAGAAAUAAACUACAGCCAUAGAAACAACAAACUACAGCUAUAGAAAUAAGAAACUACAGCUAUAUAAAUAAACUACAGCAAUAGAAACUACAAACUACAGCUAUAUAAAUAAACUACAGCCAUAGCAACCACAAACUACAGCUAUAGAAAUAAGAAACUACAGCUAUAUAAAUAAACUACAGCAAUAGAAACUACAAACUACAGCUAUAGAAAUAAGAAACUACAGCUAUAUAAAUAAACUACAGCCAUAGAAACAACAAACUACAACAGUUAGAAAUAAACUACAGCCAUAGAAACAACAAACUACAGCUAUAUAAAUAAGAAACUACAGCUAUAUAAAUAAACUACAGUCAUAGCAACUACAAACUACAGCAGUUAGAAAUAAACUACUGCCAUAGAAACAACAAACUACAGCAGUUAGAAAUAAACUACAGCCAUAGAAACUACAAACUACAGCAGUUAGAAAUAAACUACUGCCAUAUAAAUAACAAACUACAGCAGUUAGAAAUAAACUACAGCCAUAGAAACUACAAACUACAGCAGUUAGAAAUAAACUACAGCCAUAGAAAC
Long non-coding RNA from Xiphophorus couchianus (Monterrey platyfish), 932 nucleotides. RefSeq lists it as uncharacterized. The record is from RefSeq and is a predicted model, not a curated record. The transcript has 2 exons. Lineage: Eukaryota; Metazoa; Chordata; Actinopteri; Cyprinodontiformes; Poeciliidae.